CAAUAGCGUAUAUUAAAGUUGUUGCGGUUAAGAAGCUCGUAGUUGGAUUUCUGCUGAGAACGACCGGUCCGCCCUUUGGGUGUGUAUCUGGCUCUUUCUUGGCAUCUUCUUGGUGAACGUUGCUGCACUUGACUGUGUGGAGCGCUACCCAGGACUUUUACUUUGAGGAAAUUAGAGUGUUUCAAGCAGGCAUACGCCUUGAAUACAUUAGCAUGGAAUAAUAAGAUAGGACCUCGGUUCUAUUUUGUUGGUUUCUAGAGCUGAGGUAAUGAUUAAUAGGGAUAGUUGGGGGCAUUCGUAUUUAACUGUCAGAGGCGAAAUUCUUGGAUUUGUUAAAGACGGACUACUGCGAAAGCAUUUGCCAAGGAUGUUUUCAUUGA
RNAcentral lists this ribosomal RNA (380 nucleotides) under uncultured eukaryote. Its description in RNAcentral is "partial 18S ribosomal RNA". It matches the Rfam family "Eukaryotic small subunit ribosomal RNA", at positions 592 to 976 of the family's 1831-position model. The record is from RNAcentral.